GACAGAGGGGGCUAGCGUUGUUCGGAAUUACUGGGCGUAAAGCGCGCGUAGGUGGUUAUGUAAGUCAGAUGUGAAAUCCCAGAGCUUAACUUUGGAACUGCAUUUGAAACUAUAUAGCUAGAGACCGGUAGAGGUUGGUGGAAUUCCUAGUGUAGAGGUGAAAUUCGUAGAUAUUAGGAAGAAUAUCAAUGGCGAAGGCAGCCAACUGGCCGGUACUGACACUGAUGCGCGAAAGCGUGGGGAGCAAACAGG
This 252-nucleotide ribosomal RNA is filed under the name uncultured bacterium. Its description in RNAcentral is "partial 16S ribosomal RNA". It matches the Rfam family "Bacterial small subunit ribosomal RNA", at positions 524 to 776 of the family's 1533-position model. The record is from RNAcentral.